This 2771-nucleotide ribosomal RNA is filed under the name Klebsiella pneumoniae. RNAcentral's name for it is "bacterial LSU rRNA". It matches the Rfam family "Bacterial large subunit ribosomal RNA". The record is from RNAcentral. Lineage: Bacteria; Pseudomonadati; Pseudomonadota; Gammaproteobacteria; Enterobacterales; Enterobacteriaceae.
AGCGUACACGGUGGAUGCCCUGGCAGUCAGAGGCGAUGAAGGACGUGCUAAUCUGCGAAAAGCGUCGGUAAGGUGAUAUGAACCGUUAUAACCGGCGAUGUCCGAAUGGGGAAACCCAGUGCAAUUCGUUGCACUAUCGUUAACUGAAUACAUAGGUUAACGAGGCGAACCGGGGGAACUGAAACAUCUAAGUACCCCGAGGAAAAGAAAUCAACCGAGAUUCCCCCAGUAGCGGCGAGCGAACGGGGAGCAGCCCAGAGUCUGAAUCAGCUUGUGUGUUAGUGGAACGGUCUGGAAAGUCCGACGGUACAGGGUGAUAGUCCCGUACACCAAAAUGCACAGGUUGUGAACUCGAAGAGUAGGGCGGGACACGUGGUAUCCUGUCUGAAUAUGGGGGGACCAUCCUCCAAGGCUAAAUACUCCUGACUGACCGAUAGUGAACCAGUACCGUGAGGGAAAGGCGAAAAGAACCCCGGCGAGGGGAGUGAAAAAGAACCUGAAACCGUGUACGUACAAGCAGUGGGAGCACCUUCGGGUGUGACUGCGUACCUUUUGUAUAAUGGGUCAGCGACUUAUAUUCUGUAGCAAGGUUAACCGUAUAGGGGAGCCGCAGGGAAACCGAGUCUUAACUGGGCGUUAAGUUGCAGGGUAUAGACCCGAAACCCGGUGAUCUAGCCAUGGGCAGGUUGAAGGUUGGGUAACACUAACUGGAGGACCGAACCGACUAAUGUUGAAAAAUUAGCGGAUGACUUGUGGCUGGGGGUGAAAGGCCAAUCAAACCGGGAGAUAGCUGGUUCUCCCCGAAAGCUAUUUAGGUAGCGCCUCGUGAAUUCAUCUUCGGGGGUAGAGCACUGUUUCGGCUAGGGGGUCAUCCCGACUUACCAACCCGAUGCAAACUACGAAUACCGAAGAAUGUUAUCACGGGAGACACACGGCGGGUGCUAACGUCCGUCGUGAAGAGGGAAACAACCCAGACCGCCAGCUAAGGUCCCAAAGUCAUGGUUAAGUGGGAAACGAUGUGGGAAGGCACAGACAGCCAGGAUGUUGGCUUAGAAGCAGCCAUCAUUUAAAGAAAGCGUAAUAGCUCACUGGUCGAGUCGGCCUGCGCGGAAGAUGUAACGGGGCUAAACCAUGCACCGAAGCUGCGGCAGCGACACUAUGUGUUGUUGGGUAGGGGAGCGUUCUGUAAGCCUGCGAAGGUGUGCUGUGAGGCAUGCUGGAGGUAUCAGAAGUGCGAAUGCUGACAUAAGUAACGAUAAAGCGGGUGAAAAGCCCGCUCGCCGGAAGACCAAGGGUUCCUGUCCAACGUUAAUCGGGGCAGGGUGAGUCGACCCCUAAGGCGAGGCCGAAAGGCGUAGUCGAUGGGAAACAGGUUAAUAUUCCUGUACUUGGUGUUACUGCGAAGGGGGGACGGAGAAGGCUAUGUUAGCCGGGCGACGGUUGUCCCGGUUUAAGCAUGUAGGCUGGUUAUCCAGGCAAAUCCGGAUAAUCAAGGCUGAGGUGUGAUGACGAGGCACUACGGUGCUGAAGUAACAAAUGCCCUGCUUCCAGGAAAAGCCUCUAAGCAUCAGGUAACAUCAAAUCGUACCCCAAACCGACACAGGUGGUCAGGUAGAGAAUACCAAGGCGCUUGAGAGAACUCGGGUGAAGGAACUAGGCAAAAUGGUGCCGUAACUUCGGGAGAAGGCACGCUGGUGUGUAGGUGAAGUCCCUGCGGAUGGAGCUGAGACCAGUCGAAGAUACCAGCUGGCUGCAACUGUUUAUUAAAAACACAGCACUGUGCAAACACGAAAGUGGACGUAUACGGUGUGACGCCUGCCCGGUGCCGGAAGGUUAAUUGAUGGGGUUAUCCGUAAGGAGAAGCUCUUGAUCGAAGCCCCGGUAAACGGCGGCCGUAACUAUAACGGUCCUAAGGUAGCGAAAUUCCUUGUCGGGUAAGUUCCGACCUGCACGAAUGGCGUAAUGAUGGCCAGGCUGUCUCCACCCGAGACUCAGUGAAAUUGAACUCGCUGUGAAGAUGCAGUGUACCCGCGGCAAGACGGAAAGACCCCGUGAACCUUUACUAUAGCUUGACACUGAACAUUGAGCCUUGAUGUGUAGGAUAGGUGGGAGGCUUUGAAGCGUGGACGCCAGUCUGCGUGGAGCCAACCUUGAAAUACCACCCUUUAAUGUUUGAUGUUCUAACGUUGGCCCCUUACCGGGGUUGCGGACAGUGUCUGGUGGGUAGUUUGACUGGGGCGGUCUCCUCCCAAAGCGUAACGGAGGAGCACGAAGGUUAGCUAAUCCUGGUCGGACAUCAGGAGGUUAGUGCAAUGGCAUAAGCUAGCUUGACUGCGAGCGUGACGGCGCGAGCAGGUGCGAAAGCAGGUCAUAGUGAUCCGGUGGUUCUGAAUGGAAGGGCCAUCGCUCAACGGAUAAAAGGUACUCCGGGGAUAACAGGCUGAUACCGCCCAAGAGUUCAUAUCGACGGCGGUGUUUGGCACCUCGAUGUCGGCUCAUCACAUCCUGGGGCUGAAGUAGGUCCCAAGGGUAUGGCUGUUCGCCAUUUAAAGUGGUACGCGAGCUGGGUUUAGAACGUCGUGAGACAGUUCGGUCCCUAUCUGCCGUGGGCGCUGGAGAAUUGAGGGGGGCUGCUCCUAGUACGAGAGGACCGGAGUGGACGCAUCACUGGUGUUCGGGUUGUCAUGCCAAUGGCACUGCCCGGUAGCUAAAUGCGGAAGAGAUAAGUGCUGAAAGCAUCUAAGCACGAAACUUGCCCCGAGAUGAGUUCU